GUGGCUUUAGUUUAUGUGGUAAAACACCUCAUUGUGGAUGAGGAAAACAGGGUUCGAACCCCGAAGUCACC
RNAcentral lists this transfer RNA (71 nucleotides) under Flavobacterium sp. SaA2.13. RNAcentral describes it as "tRNA-His". It matches the Rfam family "tRNA". Rfam says of the family: Transfer RNA (tRNA) molecules are approximately 80 nucleotides in length. Their secondary structure includes four short double-helical elements and three loops (D, anti-codon, and T loops). Further hydrogen bonds mediate the characteristic L-shaped molecular structure. tRNAs have two regions of fundamental functional importance: the anti-codon, which is responsible for specific mRNA codon recognition, and the 3' end, to which the tRNAs corresponding amino acid is attached (by aminoacyl-tRNA synthetases). tRNAs cope with the degeneracy of the genetic code in two manners: having more than one tRNA (with a specific anti-codon) for a particular amino acid; and 'wobble' base-pairing, i.e. permitting non-standard base-pairing at the 3rd anti-codon position. Lineage: Bacteria; Pseudomonadati; Bacteroidota; Flavobacteriia; Flavobacteriales; Flavobacteriaceae. The record is from RNAcentral.